AAAAAAAAGACGAAAGCAGAAAGAGAAAAUUACAUAUUUCUUGGGAAAAUAUAAUUAAAAUUUAUUUUCACAUCCUUACGAAUUUUCGUUGCUUCGCCCGACUCUAUGCCUACUUUUCAACAUAUGCUGAAUAACUGAUGAUUUGACGACUAAUUGGAUGUUUUAAUAAAACAUAUCUAUGGUUUUUCUCUUCAGUAUGAUGACUUUACUUCAACUACUUACUCGCAAUCUCUCGGCACUUUUUUGAAAAGCACAAUAACAAUCCUGUGUCUCGAAAUUCCAGAAGGAAAACUAUGUUUUCGAUAUUGCAUAUUUUAGUUGAAGCAAAUCUUGCCACAUCCAUAUUUGAUGAGACACUACAUGUUAAACCAAAUGUUUCUUUGAAUAUCAAAGAACAUUAAAUUUAACAUGUACAUGCAUGAAAGAACCAUUCUUACUCUUCAAUUCCAUUCGCACACUAUUGAAUUACUUACCCACUGUAGACUAACUUAUCACAGCUGAGUUUUCUACUCUUUCACCAACUACCUAGCUAAUUUUCAACUACACACGACCUUUUUACAAUUGUUGUCAUAGCAUGAAAUCCUUUUUAUUUAUUACAAAACAUAAACAGGGAUUUUUUAGUGAGCCAAACGAGAGCUUUGGAUGACAGAGGUAAGCUCUUCAAUCUUUCCCUUGGCACGCUUAAGGGUAC
Molecule: non-coding RNA, 691 nt
Organism: Schizosaccharomyces pombe (fission yeast)
Lineage: Eukaryota; Fungi; Ascomycota; Schizosaccharomycetes; Schizosaccharomycetales; Schizosaccharomycetaceae
Source: the annotation of a GenBank genome assembly